UAGCUCAAUUGGUAGAGCAACUGAUUUGUAAUCAGUGGCAUAUUCCAAUUAAAGCUUAUAUUAUCUA
This 67-nucleotide transfer RNA is filed under the name Xanthomarina gelatinilytica. RNAcentral describes it as "tRNA-Thr". Lineage: Bacteria; Pseudomonadati; Bacteroidota; Flavobacteriia; Flavobacteriales; Flavobacteriaceae. The record is from RNAcentral.